GUUUUUCCGUCCUCUGAUUGGUUCAGCUAAAAACCGUCGUCUAUUUAUCCCUCUGAUUGGUCGAGCGGAAUAUGCACAUGAGAAUGACUGAUUGACAGGGCUAAUGGCGUACAUGAUUAAAAACUCAUCUUCUAGCCGCGGUAUUCAUGAAAAAUUCACUUUGCGAGGCCAAGUCAACCAAAACUAGUUGCUGCCUGGCCGGUUUUUAACCUGGAAAAUGAUUCUUUUAACCCGGAAUAUGAUUCUUUUGGGCACUUUGAGGACAACAUGUAUGCUGACGAAAGCUAGCUUCCACAGGAGAGAAAAAAAGGAAGGUGGUUUUAACAUGUGGAUUAGCAUCUCCGGGUGACGGGGAGUGCUGGAGCCUAUCCCAGCUGUCAACGAGCAAGAGACAGGGGACACCCUGAACUGGUUGCCAGCCAAUUGCAGGUCACACAGAGACAAACAGCCGCACUCACAAUCACACCUAUGGGCAAUUUAUAGUGUCCAAGUAAUGUUGCAUGUUUUUGGGAUGUGGGAGGAAACCGGAGUGCCUGGAGAAAACCCACGCAGCCACAGGGAGAACAUGCAAACUCCACACAAGCAGGGCCGGGAUUUAAACCUCAAUUCUCAGAACUUUUUACAGUAAACAUCAACUGGGAGUGACAAACAGCUUGAAGCAAGGACACUUUGCCUCUUACUUGUAGAACCGCGGCCAAAGGCUGACCGGAACAAAACACAGUAACUGGCAAUAUGUGACAUAUUCCAUUUUGGAAGUGACUUGGCCAACACCGACCGUAAAUGAUUGACACUCUCAAAUAGGCCAGUGGAGUUACGGCUGACGUUUCUGGCUUGCAGCGGUGUGGCCCACUCCCAUGUGCCACCUGAGCAAUUUGGACCCCCACCCCCAACCAAAACUAAAAGGCAAAUAUGUCGCUAACA
This is a long non-coding RNA of Syngnathoides biaculeatus (alligator pipefish), 921 nucleotides long. RefSeq lists it as uncharacterized. The record is from RefSeq and is a predicted model, not a curated record. Lineage: Eukaryota; Metazoa; Chordata; Actinopteri; Syngnathiformes; Syngnathidae. The transcript has 5 exons.